UACACGAUGUGAGUCUGCGAUUUCCGAAUGGGGAAACCCAACUGCAUAAGCAGUUACUGUUAACUGAAUACAUAGGUUAACAGAGCAAACCGGGGGAACUGAAACAUCUAAGUACCCCGAGGAGAAGAAAUCAACCGAGAUUCCGGUAGUAGCGGCGAGCGAACCUGGAUUAGCCCUUAAGCACUCGGUGAAGUAGGUGAACAAGCUGGAAAGCUUGGCGAUACAGGGUGAUAGCCCCGUAACCGACGCUUCAUCGAGCGUGAAAUCGAGUAGGGCGGGACACGUGAUAUCCUGUCUGAAUAUGGGGGGACCAUCCUCCAAGGCUAAAUACUCCUGACUGACCGAUAGUGAACCAGUACCGUGAGGGAAAGGCGAAAAGAACCCCUGUGAGGGGAGUGAAAUAGAACCUGAAACCGUGUACGUACAAGCAGUAGGAGCACCUUCGUGGUGUGACUGCGUACCUUUUGUAUAAUGGGUCAGCGACUUAUAUUCAGUGGCAAGGUUAACCGUAUAGGGGAGCCGUAGCGAAAGCGAGUCUUAACUGGGCGCUCAGUCUCUGGAUAUAGACCCGAAACCGGGUGAUCUAGCCAUGGGCAGGUUGAAGGUUGAGUAACAUCAACUGGAGGACCGAACCGACUAAUGUUGAAAAAUUAGCGGAUGACUUGUGGCUAGGGGUGAAAGGCCAAUCAAACUCGGAGAUAGCUGGUUCUCCCCGAAAGCUAUUUAGGUAGCGCCUCGGACGAAUACUACUGGGGGUAGAGCACUGUUAAGGCUAGGGGGUCAUCCCGACUUACCAACCCUUUGCAAACUCCGAAUACCAGUAAGUACUAUCCGGGAGACACACGGCGGGUGCUAACGUCCGUCGUGGAGAGGGAAACAACCCAGACCGCCAGCUAAGGUCCCAAAGUAUUGCUAAGUGGGAAACGAUGUGGGAAGGCUCAGACAGCUAGGAUGUUGGCUUAGAAGCAGCCAUCAUUUAAAGAAAGCGUAAUAGCUCACUAGUCGAGUCGGCCUGCGCGGAAGAUGUAACGGGGCUAAGCAAUACACCGAAGCUGCGGCAAUAUCUUUUAGAUAUUGGGUAGGGGAGCGUUCUGUAAGCCGUUGAAGGUGAAUCGUAAGGUUUGCUGGAGGUAUCAGAAGUGCGAAUGCUGACAUGAGUAACGACAAAGGGGGUGAAAAACCUCCUCGCCGGAAGACCAAGGGUUCCUGUCCAACGUUAAUCGGGGCAGGGUGAGUCGACCCCUAAGGUGAGGCCGAAAGGCGUAAUCGAUGGGAAACGGGUUAAUAUUCCCGUACUUCUGACUAUUGCGAUGGGGGGACGGAGAAGGCUAGGUGGGCCAGGCGACGGUUGUCCUGGUUCAAGUGCGUAGGCUUGAGAGUUAGGUAAAUCCGGCUCUCUCUAAGGCUGAGACACGACGUCGAGCUGCUACGGCAGUGAAGUCAUUGAUGCCAUGCUUCCAGGAAAAGCCUCUAAGCUUCAGAUAGUCAGGAAUCGUACCCCAAACCGACACAGGUGGUCGGGUAGAGAAUACCAAGGCGCUUGAGAGAACUCGGGUGAAGGAACUAGGCAAAAUGGUACCGUAACUUCGGGAGAAGGUACGCUCUUGAUGGUGAAGUCCCUCGCGGAUGGAGCUGACGAGAGUCGCAGAUACCAGGUGGCUGCAACUGUUUAUUAAAAACACAGCACUGUGCAAAAUCGCAAGAUGACGUAUACGGUGUGACGCCUGCCCGGUGCCGGAAGGUUAAUUGAUGGGGUUAGCGCAAGCGAAGCUCUUGAUCGAAGCCCCGGUAAACGGCGGCCGUAACUAUAACGGUCCUAAGGUAGCGAAAUUCCUUGUCGGGUAAGUUCCGACCUGCACGAAUGGCGUAAUGAUGGCCACGCUGUCUCCACCCGAGACUCAGUGAAAUUGAAAUCGCUGUGAAGAUGCAGUGUACCCGCGGCUAGACGGAAAGACCCCGUGAACCUUUACUACAGCUUGGCACUGAACAUUGAACCUACAUGUGUAGGAUAGGUGGGAGGCUAUGAAGACGUGACGCCAGUUGCGUUGGAGCCGUCCUUGAAAUACCACCCUUGUAUGUUUGAUGUUCUAACUUAGACCCGUUAUCCGGGUUGAGGACAGUGCCUGGUGGGUAGUUUGACUGGGGCGGUCUCCUCCCAAAGAGUAACGGAGGAGCACGAAGGUGGGCUAAUCACGGUUGGACAUCGUGAGGUUAGUGCAAUGGCAUAAGCCCGCUUAACUGCGAGAAUGACGGUUCGAGCAGGUGCGAAAGCAGGUCAUAGUGAUCCGGUGGUUCUGUAUGGAAGGGCCAUCGCUCAACGGAUAAAAGGUACUCCGGGGAUAACAGGCUGAUACCGCCCAAGAGUUCAUAUCGACGGCGGUGUUUGGCACCUCGAUGUCGGCUCAUCACAUCCUGGGGCUGAAGUCGGUCCCAAGGGUAUGGCUGUUCGCCAUUUAAAGUGGUACGCGAGCUGGGUUUAGAACGUCGUGAGACAGUUCGGUCCCUAUCUGCCGUGGGCGUUGGAAGAUUGAAGGGGGCUGCUCCUAGUACGAGAGGACCGGAGUGGACGAACCUCUGGUGUUCGGGUUGUGUCGCCAGACGCAUUGCCCGGUAGCUAAGUUCGGAAUUGAUAAGCGCUGAAAGCAUCUAAGCGCGAAGCGAGCCCUGAGAUGAGUCUUCCC
This 2681-nucleotide ribosomal RNA is filed under the name Vibrio cholerae. RNAcentral's name for it is "partial 23S ribosomal RNA". It matches the Rfam family "Bacterial large subunit ribosomal RNA". The record is from RNAcentral. Lineage: Bacteria; Pseudomonadati; Pseudomonadota; Gammaproteobacteria; Vibrionales; Vibrionaceae.